GGGGGGGGGCAAGCGUUGUUCGGAAUUACUGGGGCGUAAAGGGCGCGCAGGCGGCCUGGCCAGUCCUACGUGAAAUCCCACAGCUCAACUGUGGAAUUGCGUGGGAUACUGCCAGGCUUGAGUCCGGGAGAGGAGAGUGGAAUUCCCAGUGUAGCGGUGAAAUGCGUAGAUAUUGGGAGGAACACCGGUGGCGAAGGCGGCUCUCUGGACCGGCACUGACGCUGAGGCGCGAAAGCUAGGGGAGCAAACGGGAUUAGAUACCCCGGUAGUCCUAGCCCUAAACGAUGAGCACUUGGUGUGGCGGGUAUCGACCCCUGCCGUGCCGAAGCUAACGCAUUAAGUGCUCCGCCUGGGGAGUACGGUCGCAAGGCUG
This 373-nucleotide ribosomal RNA is filed under the name uncultured organism. RNAcentral's name for it is "partial 16S ribosomal RNA". It matches the Rfam family "Bacterial small subunit ribosomal RNA", at positions 526 to 896 of the family's 1533-position model. The record is from RNAcentral.